Molecule: ribosomal RNA, 468 nt
Filed under: uncultured bacterium
Lineage: Bacteria
Description: partial 16S ribosomal RNA
Rfam family: Bacterial small subunit ribosomal RNA
Source: RNAcentral
GACGAACGCUGGCGGCGUGCUUAACACAUGCAAGUCGAACGGAAAGGCCCUGCUUUUGUGGGGUGCUCGAGUGGCGAACGGGUGAGUAACACGUGAGUAACCUGCCCUUGACUUUGGGAUAACUUCAGGAAACUGGGGCUAAUACCGGAUAGGAGCUCCUGCUGCAUGGUGGGGGUGGGAAAGUUUCGGCGGUGGGGGAUGGACUCGCGGCUUAUCAGCUUGUUGGUGGGGUAGUGGCUUACCAAGGCUUUGACGGGUAGCCGGCCUGCGAGGGUGACCGGCCACAUUGGGACUGCGAUACGGCCCAGACUGCUACGGGAGGCAGCAGUGGGGAAUAUUGCACAAUGGGCGGAAGCCUGAUGCAGCAACGCCGCGUGCGGGAUGACGGCCUUCGGGUUGUAAACCGCUUUCGCCUGUGACGAAGCGUGAGUGACGGUAAUGGGUAAAGAAGCACCGGCUAACUACGUG